This 492-nucleotide ribosomal RNA is filed under the name uncultured bacterium. RNAcentral describes it as "partial 16S ribosomal RNA". It matches the Rfam family "Bacterial small subunit ribosomal RNA", at positions 29 to 507 of the family's 1533-position model. The record is from RNAcentral.
AGUGAACGCUGGCGGUAGGCCUAACACAUGCAAGUCGAACGGCAGCACAGUAAGAGCUUGCUCUUACGGGUGGCGAGUGGCGGACGGGUGAGGAAUACAUCGGAAUCUACUUUUUCGUGGGGGAUAACGUAGGGAAACUUACGCUAAUACCGCAUACGACCUACGGGUGAAAGCAGGGGAUCUUCGGACCUUGCGCGAUUGAAUGAGCCGAUGUCGGAUUAGCUAGUUGGCGGGGUAAAGGCCCACCAAGGCGACGAUCCGUAGCUGGUCUGAGAGGAUGAUCAGCCACACUGGAACUUAGACACGGUCCAGACUCCUACGGGAGGCAGCAGUGGGGAAUAUUGGACAAUGGACGCAAGCCUGAUCCAACCAUACCGCGUGGGUAAAGAAGGCCUUCGGUUUGUAAAGCCCUUUUAUUGAGAAAAAAAAACAGCAAGUUAAUACCCCGCUAUUCUGACGGUACCCAAAGAAUAAGCACCGGCUAACUUCGUG